RNAcentral lists this long non-coding RNA (519 nucleotides) under Mus caroli (Ryukyu mouse). Its description in RNAcentral is "predicted gene 17103 (MGP_CAROLIEiJ_G0002971.1)". The record is from RNAcentral. Lineage: Eukaryota; Metazoa; Chordata; Mammalia; Rodentia; Muridae.
ACUUCAAGGCACCUGAAGACUUACCAGUGAAGUACAAGAAGCAGGAUGAUUGUAUGGAUACCACCACACCGUCUUAUAGAUGUUGAUAUACUGAAUGAACAGAACAAUCAGCAGGUAGAUGAAGAAAAGAAAUUCAAAGAACAGGCUCCCAUCUACUGGCUCGGUCUUAGCGCCAUCUUCCUUGAGCCUCCUGCACCAUGAGAGCGAUGUGGUGGGAGAAGAGAAUGUGCAGGUUGCACCCACAAAGCCUGCAGGAGAAGUUAGGGAUGCUCAAGGCCAGGACACCGAAACAAGCUGUCGGACUAUGUGCUGCUGUUGGUAGUAAGUCUCAGUAGACCUGGAACGUCACCUCGCCAUGAUCACCUGGGAAAAUGACUGCCUUUCUUAUGACCAAAACAGUACUGCUGGACCUCUGCCCUGGACCUUUGGCACUCUGGACUAGUUCUGCUCUCUCUUGUGGCCAAGUGCAACUCGUGUACAAUAAAUCCUUUUGUUGUCAGCUAAAGAAUCAAACAAAAG